AUUGAACGCUGGCGGCAGGCCUAACACAUGCAAGUCGAGCGGAUGAAGGGAGCUUGCUCCUGGAUUCAGCGGCGGACGGGUGAGUAAUGCCUAGGAAUCUGCCUGGUAGUGGGGGAUAACGUCCGGAAACGGGCGCUAAUACCGCAUACGUCCUGAGGGAGAAAGUGGGGGAUCUUCGGACCUCACGCUAUCAGAUGAGCCUAGGUCGGAUUAGCUAGUUGGUGGGGUAAAGGCCUACCAAGGCGACGAUCCGUAACUGGUCUAAGAGGAUGAUCAGUCACACUGGAACUGAGACACGGUCCAGACUCCUACGGGAGGCAGCAGUGGGGAAUAUUGGACAAUGGGCGAAAGCCUGAUCCAGCCAUGCCGCGUGUGUGAAGAAGGUCUUCGGAUUGUAAAGCACUUUAAGUUGGGAGGAAGGGCAGUAAGUUAAUACCUUGCUGUUUUGACGUUACCAACAGAAUAAGCACCGGCUAACUUCGUG
RNAcentral lists this ribosomal RNA (484 nucleotides) under uncultured bacterium. RNAcentral's name for it is "partial 16S ribosomal RNA". It matches the Rfam family "Bacterial small subunit ribosomal RNA", at positions 30 to 507 of the family's 1533-position model. The record is from RNAcentral.